AGCACCUAAGAGGAAAAGUCAUUAUGCAAAAAUUGUUUUCCAUUGUAUAUAAGCAAUCUUAAAAUCAAAAAAUGCAUACCUACUUUAGUGAAGAACUAAGAAUCAAAUCAAAUAGGUAGCUCUUUUCUCAAGCAAUUUAUAAACUAAUUGUGGAGGGGAGGGACAUGAUACAAACAGUUUGUAAAUUACAGGUAAGCUGGCUUUCAGAGUAAUUUUUGUAAGUUUUUUGGAACUAAAAAUUUCCAGUAGACAUACUUUCAUAAAAGGUGGAUUUCUAAACCAGUAUACAAAGCCCAGUUACCUCACAAUAUGCUUACAGAUAGGAUGGUAAUAACCAACUGAAUUAUAUCACCAUAACAUUUAAUGAUGUUUUGAUGGAAAGGGGCAUUUUUAAAACUUCUUCAUAAAGGACUGUUCAUAAUAAAAGACACUAAUUGUUUUAAACUGAAAUUGGGGAUUGCUGAUAGCUAUAAAGAUAAAUUGUAGUACCUAUGCCAAGUAUCAUGUGAGUGGUGUGGAUAAGAAUACAGGUAGAGGCAAAAGUGCCUUCUAGAAGAUCUAGGGCUGGGGCUGUGACGGGAGCUAAGAGAUAAAAGAAAGGAGUUUGGGUCAGUUCUGGAAGUCUUCUCAAUAAAAUGGGCUCUGAAGAAAGCAUUUGGAUGAGGAGAGCUAAGGAGAGCAUUCUGGACACAUCAUAAAUCAUAAAGAUGAUAUAGUGGCUUUACUUUUGAAUAGAUAGAUAAAAAUCAUCAGGGUAUAGUGGCUACCCAAGAAACCCACUCCUAGAAUGUAUUAAGAAAUCUAAUAUACCUUCAUUUAUUGUUUACUAUGUGCAUAAUCAUUUCUAAAUUUCACAGCAAACUCCAGAAGUAGGUGCUAAUAUCUCCAUUUUAAAGAUGAAGAAACUAGGGUCUGGAAUUGUGGCUUAGUGGUAGAGUACUUGCCUAGCAUGUGUGAGGCCAUGGGUUCAAUUCUCAGUACUGCAUAUAAAUGAAUGAAUAAAAUAAAGUUCCAUCAACAUUUAAAAAAUAUUUUUUAAAAAAGAAGAAGAAACAAGGGCUUACUGGUUUUAAAUGACUUGCCCAAAGACACACAGCUAGUAAUAAGCAAGAUGGUUAGGAUUCAUACAUAGAUCUUCCAGACCAAGGCCUUAUUUCUAUGGUACCAUCUUGUCUUGUUCUAACAAUUUGGGAUCAGGCAGAUAUGACUUCAAAUGCUGGCUCUGCCAUUUACUAUUUAUGUCACUGUUAUGGUUUAGAUAUGUCCCCCAAAAGCUCAUGUGUUAAGCAAUGCAUGAAUUUUAAAGAUGAAAUGCCUGGAUUAUAAGAGCCUAGCCCAAUCAAUGGAUUAAUCCAGUAAUAUGGAUUAACUAGGAAGUAACUCUAAGUAGGUAGGGUGUGGCUGGUGGAGGUGGGUCACUGGGAGCAUGCCUUUGGAGUUUACAUUUUGUUCUUCCUUUUUCUGACUGCCACGUCUUGACUUCUUUCCAUGACCACAUUCUUUCACAAUAAUGUUCUGCCUCACCUUGUGCCAGAGUUAUGCAAUCAGUCAGCCCUCUGUGGACUGAGACUUCUAAAACCACAUGCCCCAAAUAAACUUUCCCUUCUGUAUGUUGUUCUUGUCAGGUCUUCUGGUCACAGGGACAAGAAAGCUGACUAAAACAGUUACGAUGUGUAAAUUACUUUGUAAGGCGGUUAAGGGAAAUGCUUAAUCACUGAACUCACCAGUCACAUGAUCCUGGUUUCUUUGAAAGGUAGAUGUCUGACAGUGCUCUCAGAGGAGUCAGAUUAGAAGGCCUUUUGCAAUCAAGAGUGGAAUCAGGAAAAGGAUAACAAUGCAAAGGCCUUUCAUAAAGACCAUUUGAAAGAAUGACACCAAGACACUUUGUUUUAUAUAUUUUUUAAAGAUACUUCAUUAGUGCUGUUUCAAUAUCAAAAUCAAAUGGAAGCUACAAGAUGGAUUUUGAAGAUCACAAAUACUCAGAAUGGAUAAUUGGUUUCACUCAGCUAUAAUAUCAGUAAUAGCUAAUACUAGGGUGUUACUAUAUGGAAGGUACUAUGCUGCUUUCCAAAAUUAUCUCAUUUAAUCCUUUGGUGAUAUUAUUAUUUUCAUUUUAUAGAUGAGAACAUUUAAAUUCAGAAAAGCCAAAUUAUUGGCCUAAUAGCACACAGCCCAAAAGUUUAAAUCUAUAGGUCUCUGAAUCCAAGACCAAUGUUCUUAACUACUAUAGCACUUUGCAGAAAAUACAUAAUUCUGAAAAGUUGUGGAAUUUCUCUUUGUAAAUUAAAUCUUAUUUUUCAUUGAUAAAACUUAUUUAACAUUUCA
Molecule: non-coding RNA, 2325 nt
Organism: Ictidomys tridecemlineatus (thirteen-lined ground squirrel)
Lineage: Eukaryota; Metazoa; Chordata; Mammalia; Rodentia; Sciuridae
Source: RefSeq, a predicted model, not a curated record